UUAAUUGAAACCAAAAUAGAGGUAUAUUAAUGUUAAUAAUAAGAUUGAAAAUUAAUAUUUUCCAAUUAAA
RNAcentral lists this transfer RNA (70 nucleotides) under Leptocimbex clavicornis. RNAcentral describes it as "tRNA-Asn". Lineage: Eukaryota; Metazoa; Arthropoda; Insecta; Hymenoptera; Cimbicidae. The record is from RNAcentral.